UAGCAUACAAUAAGCGGAGGAAAAGAAACCAACAGGGAUUGCCUCAGUAACGGCGAGUGAAGCGGCAACAGCUCAAAUUUGAAAUCUGGCCCUAGGCCCGAGUUGUAAUUUGCAGAGGAUGCUUUUGGCGAGGUGCCUUCCGAGUUCCCUGGAACGGGACGCCAUAGAGGGUGAGAGCCCCGUCUGGUCGGACACCGAGCCUCUGUAAAGCUCCUUCGACGAGUCGAGUAGUUUGGGAAUGCUGCUCUAAAUGGGAGGUAUAUGUCUUCUAAAGCUAAAUACCGGCCAGAGACCGAUAGCGCACAAGUAGAGUGAUCGAAAGAUGAAAAGCACUUUGAAAAGAGAGUUAAAUAGCACGUGAAAUUGUUGAAAGGGAAGCGUUUAUGACCAGACUUGGCCCGGUUGAUCAUCCAGCGUUCUCGCUGGUGCACUCUGCCGGUCCAGGCCAGCAUCAGUUCGUCGCGGGGGAUAAAGGUUUCGGGAAUGUGGCUCCUCCGGGAGUGUUAUAGCCCGUUGCGUAAUACCCUGCGGUGGACUGAGGUCCGCGCUUCUGCAAGGAUGCUGGCGUAAUGGUCAUCAACGACCCGUCUUGAAACACGGACCAAGGAGUCGUCUUCGUAUGCGAGUGUUCGGGUGUAAAACCCCUACGCGUAAUGAAAGUGAACGCAGGUGAGAGCUUCGGCGCAUCAUCGACCGAUCCUGAUGUUCUCGGAUGGAUUUGAGUAAGAGCAUACGGGGCCGGACCCGAAAGAAGGUGAACUAUGCCUGUAUAGGGUGAAGCCAGAGGAAACUCUGGUGGAGGCUCGCAGCGGUUCUGACGUGCAAAUCGAUCGUCAAAUAUGGGCAUGGGGGCGAAAGACUAAUCGACUCUAGCGGU
Molecule: ribosomal RNA, 877 nt
Filed under: Myrothecium septentrionale
Lineage: Eukaryota; Fungi; Ascomycota; Sordariomycetes; Hypocreales; Stachybotryaceae
Description: partial 28S ribosomal RNA
Rfam family: Eukaryotic large subunit ribosomal RNA
Source: RNAcentral